This 406-nucleotide ribosomal RNA is filed under the name uncultured bacterium. RNAcentral's name for it is "partial 16S ribosomal RNA". It matches the Rfam family "Bacterial small subunit ribosomal RNA", at positions 29 to 526 of the family's 1533-position model. The record is from RNAcentral.
AUUGAACGCUGGCGGCAGGCCUAACACAUGCAAGUCGAACGAGUGGCGGACGGGUGAGUAAUGUCUGGGAAACUGCCCGAUGGAGGGGGAUAACUACUGGAAACGGUAGCUAAUACCGCAUACCAUCGGAUGUGCCCAGAUGGGAGUAGCUAGUAGGUGGGGUAACGGCUCACCUAGGAGACGAUCCCUAGCUGGUCUGAGAGGAUGACCGGCCACACGGGAACUGGGAAACGGCCCAGACUCCUACGGAGGGAAGCAGUGGGGAAUAUUGCACAAGGGGGGCAAGCCUGAUGCAGCAAUGCCGCGUGUAUGAGGAAGGCCUUCGGGUUGUAAAGUACUUUCAGCGAGGAGGCGUUACUCGCAGAAGAAGCACCGGCUAACUCCGUGCCAGCCGCCGCGGUAAUAC